GACGAACGCUGGCGGCGUGCUUAACACAUGCAAGUCGAACGGAAAGGCCCUGCUUUUGUGGGGUGCUCGAGUGGCGAACGGGUGAGUAACACGUGAGUAACCUGCCCUUGACUUUGGGAUAACUUCAGGAAACUGGGGCUAAUACCGGAUAGGAGCUCCUGCUGCAUGGUGGGGGUUGGAAAGUUUCGGCGGUUGGGGAUGGACUCGCGGCUUAUCAGCUUGUUGGUGGGGUAGUGGCUUACCAAGGCUUUGACGGGUAGCCGGCCUGAGAGGGUGACCGGCCACAUUGGGACUGAGAUACGGCCCAGACUCCUACGGGAGGCAGCAGUGGGGAAUAUUGCACAAUGGACGGAAGCCUGAUGCAGCAACGCCGCGUGCGGGAUGACGGCCUUCGGGUUGUAAACCGCUUUCGCCUGUGGCGAAGCGUGAGUGACGGUAAUGGGUAAAGAAGCACCGGCUAACUACGUG
RNAcentral lists this ribosomal RNA (468 nucleotides) under uncultured bacterium. RNAcentral describes it as "partial 16S ribosomal RNA". It matches the Rfam family "Bacterial small subunit ribosomal RNA", at positions 28 to 507 of the family's 1533-position model. The record is from RNAcentral.